UACGGAGGGGGCUAGCGUUUUUCGGAAUUACUGGGCGUAAAGCGCACGUAGGCGGAUUGGAAAGUCAGGGGUGAAAUCCCGGGGCUCAACCCCGGAACUGCCUUUGAAACUCCCAGUCUUGAGGCCGAGAGAGGUGAGUGGAAUUCCGAGUGUAGAGGUGAAAUUCGUAGAUAUUCGGAGGAACACCAGUGGCGAAGGCGGCUCACUGGCUCGAUACUGACGCUGAGGUGCGAAAGCGUGGGGAGCAAACAGG
RNAcentral lists this ribosomal RNA (253 nucleotides) under uncultured bacterium. Its description in RNAcentral is "partial 16S ribosomal RNA". It matches the Rfam family "Bacterial small subunit ribosomal RNA", at positions 524 to 776 of the family's 1533-position model. The record is from RNAcentral.